RNAcentral lists this signal recognition particle RNA (254 nucleotides) under uncultured Faecousia sp. RNAcentral's name for it is "Bacterial large signal recognition particle RNA". It matches the Rfam family "Bacterial large signal recognition particle RNA". Rfam says of the family: The signal recognition particle (SRP) is a universally conserved ribonucleoprotein involved in the co-translational targeting of proteins to membranes. Archaeal SRP consists of a 7S RNA and homologues of the eukaryotic SRP19 and SRP54 proteins. Lineage: Bacteria; Bacillati; Bacillota; Clostridia; Eubacteriales; Oscillospiraceae. The record is from RNAcentral.
CGCACUAGUCGGGAAGUUAGCGGUUUCCUGUACCUGCAUCGCUUCAGCAGGGAUGAAACCCCACACCCGGGCGUCAAGGAACCGAUACCUAUGGGCAGUUUGAUGUUGAGAGACCGGCCCUGCGCAACGAGAAACCGUGAACCAUGUCAGGUGGGGAACCAAGCAGCAUUAAGCGGAGCUUCUCGUGUGCCGCGGGUUUACCGUUCUUGAGUCGGGCUGUACGGUUCGGCAGCCGGAUGUUCAAAUGUGGGUGU